Unclassified non-coding RNA from Cricetulus griseus (Chinese hamster), 311 nucleotides. Its record names the gene 7SK. It matches the Rfam family "7SK RNA". Rfam says of the family: 7SK was discovered as an abundant small nuclear RNA in the mid-70s but a possible function has only recently been suggested. Two independent studies have found that 7SK RNA binds the CDK9/cyclin T complex (known as elongation factor P-TEFb). NCBI's taxonomy places the organism in Eukaryota, Metazoa, Chordata, Mammalia, Rodentia, Cricetidae. The record is from Ensembl.
GGAUGUGAGGGCAAUCUGGCUGUGAUAUCUGUCACCUCAUGGAUCACCAGGGUUGACUCUGCUGAUCUGGCUGGCUAGGAGGGUGUCCCCUUCCUCCAUAACUACUCCAUGUGUGUCCCUCCCAAAGCUGCAUGCUAGAUCAAAGAGGGCGACCUUCCUGGAAUACAGGAGGACGGGUCCUGGGUUAGGGGCAUAGGAGUAGCUGUGCUCCCCUGCUGAACCCUCUAAACAAGCUCUCACAAAGCCAAAAUGAGCCGGGACUCUAUCAUACCCACCCAAAUAAAUCCUAACUGACUGAACAAGUUCAGUUA